This 253-nucleotide ribosomal RNA is filed under the name uncultured bacterium. Its description in RNAcentral is "partial 16S ribosomal RNA". It matches the Rfam family "Bacterial small subunit ribosomal RNA", at positions 524 to 776 of the family's 1533-position model. The record is from RNAcentral.
UACAGAGGUCUCAAGCGUUGUUCGGAUUCAUUGGGCGUAAAGGGUGCGUAGGUGGCGCCGUAAGUCGGGUGUGAAAUUUCGGAGCUUAACUCCGAAACUGCAUUCGAUACUGCGGUGCUUGAGGACUGGAGAGGAGACUGGAAUUCCAGGUGUAGCGGUGAAAUGCGUAGAUAUCUGGAGGAAUACCGGUGGCGAAGGCGGCAUCCUGGACCGACAUUGACGCUGAUGAGCGAAAGCUAGGGGAGCAAACGGG